Molecule: ribosomal RNA, 253 nt
Filed under: uncultured bacterium
Lineage: Bacteria
Description: partial 16S ribosomal RNA
Rfam family: Bacterial small subunit ribosomal RNA
Source: RNAcentral
UACGUAGGGUCCGAGCGUUGUCCGGAAUUAUUGGGCGUAAAGGGCUCGUAGGCGGUCCGUCAAGUCGGCUGUGAAAUCUCAGGGCUCAACCCUGAGCUUGCAGUCGAUACUGGCGGACUUGAGGCAGGUAGGGGAGAGUGGAAUUCCCGGUGUAGCGGUGAAAUGCGCAGAUAUCGGGAGGAACACCAGUAGCGAAGGCGGCUCUCUGGGCCUGUCCUGACGCUGAGGAGCGAAAGCGUGGGUAGCGAACAGG